CACGUAGGCGGAUUAUUUAAGUCAGGGGUGAAAUCCCAGAGCUCAACUCUGGAACUGCCUUUGAUACUGGGUAUCUUGAGUAUGGAAGAGGUAAGUGGAAUUCCGAGUGUAGAGGUGAAAUUCGUAGAUAUUCGGAGGAACACCAGUGGCGAAGGCGGCUUACUGGUCCAUUACUGACGCUGAGGUGCGAAAGCGUGGGGAGCAAACA
RNAcentral lists this ribosomal RNA (208 nucleotides) under uncultured bacterium. RNAcentral's name for it is "partial 16S ribosomal RNA". It matches the Rfam family "Bacterial small subunit ribosomal RNA", at positions 568 to 774 of the family's 1533-position model. The record is from RNAcentral.